UACUCACUUUGGGGGUUCAAUGGAGAAAAAAUGUCCAACUUAGAUUAGAGAGAGAAAAAAAAACAAGUCUUUUGCCAUUUUCACUCAAAAACUCAAAGAGUGGCAAUGGCGUUUCCUCUGCAAUUCAACAACCCCAUCUCAACUUUUUCAUGUUCCAACCUUUAUAAUGGUAAUAGAACUCAACCCUUUAAAUUCUUGUGUACUUCUUCUCCACAAUCUGAUUCUUCCAAUAGCAAAGAAGAAGCUAUUCAAGACUCAUCUUGGGAAAAUGAUAAAGGGUAUGUGGUUCUGGUGGAGAAGUACAGGAAUGGAACUUUGAAAAGGUAUGUUAUAGACAAUGACUCUGAAAUGAAAAUGUUUCUUGAGGAGCAUGUACCCACAACUAGUAGAUCCCAAGAUCUUGAUAUCUCUGGCAUGGAGUUAUCUUGGCUCCCUAAGGUUAUCAAGGAUUUUGUGUUACCAUCUGGUUUCCCAGAUACAGUUUCAGAUGAUUAUUUGGACUACAUGUUGCUUCAGUUCCCAACCAAUGUAACUGGAUGGAUCUGUCACACGCUGGUGACUUCAAGUCUCUUAAAGGCGGUUGGAGUGGGCUCUUUUUCCGGAACUUCCGCAGCUGCUUCAGCUGCUGCCAUCAGAUGGGUUUCAAAGGAUGGAAUUGGUGCCCUUGGACGCUUUUUCAUUGGUGGACGGUUUGGCAAUCUUUUUGAUGAUGAUCCCAAACAAUGGCGCAUGUAUGCAGAUUUCAUUGGUAGUGCAGGAAGUAUAUUUGAUCUCUGUACCCCUCUCUAUCCAUCUUAUUUCCUACCUUUAGCUUCUCUUGGAAAUCUUGCCAAGGCUGUAGCAAGGGGGCUAAAGGACCCUUCAUUCCGGGUUAUACAAAACCACUUUGCUAUCGCUGGAAAUUUGGGAGACGUAGCAGCAAAGGAGGAAGUCUGGGAAGUAGCAGCUGAGCUGCUAGGUCUUUCUCUCGGCAUACUAGCUUUGGAUACACCUGGUAUCUCAAAGUCUUAUCCUACAUUGGCAUUAACAUGGUUAAGUGUGCGGAUCCUACAUCUUUGGUUUCGCUAUCAGUCUCUUUCAGUUCUGCAAUUCAACACGAUAAAUCUCAAACGGGCUCGCAUAUUAGUGAACUCUCAUGUUUUACACUGUACAGUCCCAGGAAUCAAUGAAUGCAAUAGGAUGGAGAGCAUCUUAUUGUGGGAAAGAUUCUUAAGGCCACGAAUUAUUUUUGAGAUAUCUUUGGAGGAGAUGAUCAAUGCGGGCAAAUACAGAUCCAAGCAAAUCAAGAAACUCAUUCAUAUGUACAAGGAGGAAAACUAUUUUCUUGUAGUAAAUGAACAGAAGGCAGCGGAUUUUCAGGUCUUUGUAUCUUUCAAGGAAGGAGCCUCAAGCCUAUCCGUUUUUCGAAGUAUAUGGCAAACCUAUUGGCUAUAUCAAAACUGGGGCUGGUCAGAUAAUAUCUUUGACCGACUUGAACAGAGCUUGGUCGAAUUGAGAGAUAGAUUUCCUGAUCUAUUACAACAACUAAGUGAUGCUGGAUGGGAUACAAAUAAUUUAAGUUUAAAGGUCCCAAAAGAAAUGUCGAUCAACGAGCUGAGUUAAUUGAGUUUCAUCCACUACAACAGUAAACCUACUGUUAAAGUUAAGUAACACAAGCAAGAAAGAUUUGAAUGGUUCUACGGCUAAAAAGUUGAGGACUGAGGAGAGAUGAUGUACAACAUGUCCCAUUAGGGGCACUGGUUUAUGGAACAGUUGAUUGGAAAAGGAGUAUCUGGAGUCCUUAUGUAAUGUCUAUGGAUUGGUCCGUUACAACUCUUACAACAACCGGCUAUGGGGACUUACACGCGGUUGCUACAGAGGAAAUGAUGGUUUACAUGCUAUUUGACCUCGGCCUGACUGCAUAUAUCUUAUUGGAAACAUGACUAACUUGGUUGUACAUGGAAACAAUAAGACGCAGAAAUUUAGGGAUGCUAUUCAAGCUUUGCACAAAAGAAUAAUCUGCCUGUUCGACUUGAAGAACAGAUGCUAGAUCACUUGUCAAUGAUGCACAGAACAGAUACAGUAGGUCUGCAGCAGCAAGAAAUUCUUGAAACAUUACCUAGAGCUAUUCGAUCUGCCAUUUCACAUCAUUUAUUCUAUUCAUAGGUGGAUAAGGCCUAUUUAUUCCACGGGGUAUCACAUGACGUACUCUUUCAACUGGUUUCUGAGAUGAAGGCUGAGUAUUUCCCUCCAAAAGAGGAUAUCAUUUUGCAAAAUGAAGCAUCUACGGAUCUCUACAUCCUCGUAAAUGGAGCAGUGGAUCUUAUAUCACACAGGAAUGGUAUGGAUCAGGUAGUUGAAGGCAGGGGAUGUUUGUGGAGAAGUUGGUAUUGUUUGUUGUAAGCCUCAACUUUUAACUGUUAGAACCAAAAGAAUAUCUCAACUGCUACGCUUGGAUCGUACUUCAUUUUUCAAUAUGGUUAAAGAAAUUCAAUACAA
This is a non-coding RNA of Solanum lycopersicum (tomato), 2478 nucleotides long. NCBI's taxonomy places the organism in Eukaryota, Viridiplantae, Streptophyta, Magnoliopsida, Solanales, Solanaceae. The record is from RefSeq and is a predicted model, not a curated record.